Molecule: transfer RNA, 72 nt
Filed under: Bacteroidaceae bacterium
Lineage: Bacteria; Pseudomonadati; Bacteroidota; Bacteroidia; Bacteroidales; Bacteroidaceae
Description: tRNA-Gly
Rfam family: tRNA
About the family: Transfer RNA (tRNA) molecules are approximately 80 nucleotides in length. Their secondary structure includes four short double-helical elements and three loops (D, anti-codon, and T loops). Further hydrogen bonds mediate the characteristic L-shaped molecular structure. tRNAs have two regions of fundamental functional importance: the anti-codon, which is responsible for specific mRNA codon recognition, and the 3' end, to which the tRNAs corresponding amino acid is attached (by aminoacyl-tRNA synthetases). tRNAs cope with the degeneracy of the genetic code in two manners: having more than one tRNA (with a specific anti-codon) for a particular amino acid; and 'wobble' base-pairing, i.e. permitting non-standard base-pairing at the 3rd anti-codon position.
Source: RNAcentral
GCGAUAGUAGCUCAGGGGUAGAGCACAACCUUCCCACGGUUGGGGUCGCGAGUUCGAAUCUCGUCUAUCGCU